UACGUAGGGGUGCAAGCGUUGUCCGGAAUUAUUGGGCGUAAAGAGCUCGUAGGCGGUCUGUCGCGUCUUGACUGUGAAAACUCAGGGCUUAACCCUGAGCUUGCAGUGGGUACGGGCAGACUAGAGUGCGGUAGGGGAGACUGGAAUUCCUGGUGAUAGCGGUGAAAUGCGCAGAUAUCAGGAGGAACACCGGUGGCGAAGGCGGGUCUCUGGGCCGUAACUGACGCUGGAGGAAGCGAAAGCGUGGGGAGCAAACAGG
This 259-nucleotide ribosomal RNA is filed under the name uncultured bacterium. RNAcentral's name for it is "partial 16S ribosomal RNA". It matches the Rfam family "Bacterial small subunit ribosomal RNA", at positions 524 to 776 of the family's 1533-position model. The record is from RNAcentral.